RNAcentral lists this ribosomal RNA (324 nucleotides) under Bacillus sp. CZ181a. RNAcentral's name for it is "bacterial SSU rRNA". It matches the Rfam family "Bacterial small subunit ribosomal RNA", at positions 1145 to 1467 of the family's 1533-position model. Lineage: Bacteria; Bacillati; Bacillota; Bacilli; Caryophanales; Bacillaceae. The record is from RNAcentral.
GUGACUGCCGGUGACAAACSGCAGGAAGGWGGAGAUGACGUAUAAUCAUCAUGCCCCUUAUGACCUGGGCUACACACGUACUACAAUGGCCGGUACAACGGGAAGCGAAGUCGCGAGAUGGAGCGAAUCCUAGAAAAGCCGGUCUCAGUUCGGAUUGCAGGCUGCAACUCGCCUGCAUGAAGUCGGAAUUGCUAGUAAUCGCGGAUCAGCAUGCCGCGGUGAAUACGUUCCCGGGUCUUGUACACACCGNCCGUCACACCACGAGAGUUUACAACACCCGAAGUCGGUGAGGUAACCGCAAGGAGCCAGCCGCCGAAGGUGGGG